This 428-nucleotide ribosomal RNA is filed under the name Entamoeba bovis. Its description in RNAcentral is "SSU rRNA". It matches the Rfam family "Eukaryotic small subunit ribosomal RNA", at positions 55 to 487 of the family's 1831-position model. The record is from RNAcentral. Lineage: Eukaryota; Evosea; Mastigamoebida; Endamoebidae.
AUGUGUAAGUUUAAAGACCAAGUAGGAUGAAACUGCGGACGGCUCAUUAUAACAGUAAUAGUUUCUUUGGUUAGUAUGUACAAGGAUAACUUUGUGAAUGAUAAAGCUAAUACUUGAGACGAUCCGGGGAGUAUUUAUACUUUUCGGCCCCCGGCCGCAAGGUUGGGGAGAAAUGACAUUCUCUUGUGAAAAAGGAUGCCACGACAAUUGAGGAAAGCGACGCUUUUUACAAGUAACCAAUGGGAAUUUCUGAUCUAUCAAUUUGUUGGUAGUAUCGAGGACUACCAAGAUUAUAACGGAUAACGAGGAAUUGGGGUUCGACAUCGGAGAGGGAGCUUUACAGAUGGCUACCACUUCUAAGGAAGGCAGCAGGCGCGUAAAUUACCCACUUUCGACAUGAAGAGGUAGUGACGACAAAUAACUCUUGG